Molecule: long non-coding RNA, 1231 nt
Organism: Rosa chinensis
Lineage: Eukaryota; Viridiplantae; Streptophyta; Magnoliopsida; Rosales; Rosaceae
Exons: 3
Source: RefSeq, a predicted model, not a curated record
UGGUUUGGUCCGUCCUGUUUAACAUUUCCUAUAGUUAUAAUCUAAUAAAUGAUGGCCAAAAAUUAUCUAAGACAGUUUCCACCUGGUUUGAUGGAUGUGUUCUUCUUAACUAAGGGCACUUUUAGUAAACAUGAAAGACUUAUACCAAUAGCUGAAAGAUUUGGCUUGGACCCAGGAGCUGUCCUCGACAAAAGUUAGUACUUUUCCAUAUUAUAUCAAUUGAACUAGUGAUACAAUUACUGCUACUAGCCAUCUUAUUUUCUUUUUCUGUGACUGCAAGAUUGUUUAUGCUCAUACAUAUACAUAUGAGUAUCAGUAUAAUAUGCUUUUUGGUCUAGCUGCAAAAAUGGCUAAAGAGCCAUUAAGACUUCUGGUAAAGACUUUUGCCAUCCAAACCUCUCUUAUAAUAUAAAAUGACCUGGAUGAUAAGUAUGCUCAUGUUUCAGGUUAUGGAUUCGGUGAUUUCUCUCUUUCGAGUAGAUGUUACUGGAAGAGGAGAACUUGGAGAUCGCCAGCAAAAACUUGCACAUAUGCUUUCCCUUUUAAUAAAGAUUGCUGAGGAAUUCAAUGUUGCUGUCUACAUGACAAACUACGGUAAUCAUUGAUUUACCUAGUAUGAAGUAGUUAUAUGUCUUUGGGACUCUGUUAUGAAAUUACAACAUGUUUAAAGUAAUCAAUGCAUGUCCUUUUGGAGGCUUAUUUGUGCAUCUUACUGUUGUGCAGUAUAGCUGAUCCCGGUGUAUGUUGUAAUACUGCUAUUGUUCUGAUAUCAUUAUGGUGGUUGUUGUCACUGGAAAACAUUAUUUACUGAAUUUUGGUAUUGAUAUGGUUUUUCAAAUGAGAGUUUUAUUUUGGUAUUGACUGAAAUCAUGGUUUGUGUUAUGUUUUGUUUGGUUAGUAUGUGUAUAUAUGUAGACGCCAAUCCCUUGUCAAAUUAUUUCAAAUUUGAAACACAAAGAUCUCUUAAUUAUUAAAUUACUCUAUCUGAGUUCAUUGUAGUCCAAGUAGAUAGAUAGUAUCAAAGAUGAAAAUGUUGGCUCACUAUGCAAAAGAGGAAGAUGAUGAUGAAGUCCACAACUUCUUAUUAACAGCUGACAAAUUUUUUGGGCUGCAAUCUAUUUCUACAAGGUCGAGACCCAAAGACACCAUCCUCGUCGUGAUGAGGAUGGUAAUAUUGAUGAAAAUGAGCAAGAGAAGGAUACAAAUUUGUGUAUUAGGAAUUUCACAUUUC